Non-coding RNA from Gossypium hirsutum (cotton), 145 nucleotides. The record is from Rfam. Lineage: Eukaryota; Viridiplantae; Streptophyta; Magnoliopsida; Malvales; Malvaceae.
UGUUAAAAAUUUCAUCCAUUUGUAUUAUUAAAAACUGGCAUGAUUGAUGAAAUAAUCAGACAGUGACACGUGACGUGCCAUAUGUACCUCGUGUUGAUGUACAAUGCCUUGUUUUUAACAGUACAAAUGGAUGAAAAUUUUAACA